GAGGUGGCGACCGGCGCGACGGGUGAGUAACACGUAUGCAACCUGCCUGUAAGCGGGGAAUAACCCGUUGAAAGACGGACUAAUACCGCAUAAUACUAAAUUACUGCAUGGUAAUUUAUUUAAACAUUUAUGGCUUACAGAUGGGCAUGCGCAUGAUUAGCUAGUUGGAGAGGUAACGGCUCCCCAAGGCAACGAUCAUUAGGGGUUCUGAGAGGAAGGUCCCCCCACACUGGUACUGAGACACGGACCAGACUCCUACGGGAGGCAGCAGUGAGGAAUAUUGGUCAAUGGACGAGAGUCUGAACCAGCCAAGUCGCGUGCAGGAAGAAUUGUCCUAUGGAUUGUAAACUGCUUUUGCAGGGGAAUAAAGUGCAUCACGUGUGAUGUUUUGUAUGUACUCUGCGAAUAAGGAUCGGCUAACUCCGUGCCAGCCGCCGC
Molecule: ribosomal RNA, 438 nt
Filed under: uncultured bacterium
Lineage: Bacteria
Description: bacterial SSU rRNA
Rfam family: Bacterial small subunit ribosomal RNA
Source: RNAcentral